CCUACGGGAGGCAGCAGUGAGGAAUAUUGGUCAAUGGGCGUAAGCCUGAACCAGCCAAGUCGCGUGAGGGAUGAAGGUUCUAUGGAUCGUAAACCUCUUUUAUAAGGGAAUAAAGUGUGGGACGUGUCCUGUUUUGUAUGUACCUUAUGAAUAAGGAUCGGCUAACUCCGUGCCAGCAGCCGCGGUAAUACGGAGGAUCCGCGCGUUAUCCGGAUUUAUUGGGUUUAAAGGGUGUGUAGACGGCCUUUUAAGUCAGCGGUGAAAGUCUGUGGCUCAACCAUAGAAUUGCAGUUGAAACUGGGAGGCUUGAGUAUGUUUGAGGCAGGCGGAAUGCGUGGUGUAGCGGUGAAAUGCUUAGAUAUCACGCAGAACCCCGAUUGCGAAGGCAGCCUGCCAAGCCAUGACUGACGCUGAUGCACGAAAGCGUGGGGAUCAAACAGGAUUAGAUACCCUAGUAGUC
RNAcentral lists this ribosomal RNA (460 nucleotides) under uncultured bacterium. Its description in RNAcentral is "partial 16S ribosomal RNA". It matches the Rfam family "Bacterial small subunit ribosomal RNA", at positions 338 to 795 of the family's 1533-position model. The record is from RNAcentral.